This 466-nucleotide ribosomal RNA is filed under the name uncultured bacterium. RNAcentral's name for it is "partial 16S ribosomal RNA". It matches the Rfam family "Bacterial small subunit ribosomal RNA", at positions 28 to 507 of the family's 1533-position model. The record is from RNAcentral.
GACGAACGCUGGCGGCGUGCUUAACACAUGCAAGUCGAACGGAAAGGCCCUGCUUUUGUGGGGUGCUCGAGUGGCGAACGGGUGAGUAACACGUGAGUAACCUGCCCUUGACUUUGGGAACUUCAGGAAACUGGGGCUAAUACCGGAUAGGAGCUCCUGCUGCAUGGUGGGGGUUGGAAAGUUUCGGCGGUUGGGGAUGGACUCGCGGCUUAUCAGCUUGUUGGUGGGGUAGUGGCUUACCAAGGCUUUGACGGGUAGCCGGCCCGAGAGGGUGACCGGCCACAUUGGGACUGAGAUACGGCCCAGACUCCUACGGGAGGCAGCAGUGGGGAAUAUUGCACAAUGGGCGGAAGCCUGAUGCAGCAACGCCGCGUGCGGGAUGACGGCCUUCGGGUUGUAAACCGCUUUCGCCUGUGACGAAGCGUGAGUGACGGUAAUGGGUAAAGAAGCACCGGCUAACUACGUG